AAUACAUGCAAGUCGAGCGAACGGACGAGAAGCUUGCUUCUCUGAUGUUAGCGGCGGACGGGUGAGUAACACGUGGAUAACCUACCUAUAAGACUGGGAUAACUUCGGGAAACCGGAGCUAAUACCGGAUAAUAUUUUGAACCGCAUGGUUCAAAAGUGAAAGACAGUCUUGCUGUCACUUAUAGAUGGAUCCGCGCUGCAUUAGCUAGUUGGUAAGGUAACGGCUUACCAAGGCAACGAUGCAUAGCCGACCUGAGAGGGUGAUCGGCCACACUGGAACUGAGACACGGUCCAGACCCCUACGGGAGGCAGCAGUAGGGAAUCUUCCGCAAUGGGCGAAAGCCUGACGGAGCAACGCCGCGUGAGUGAUGAAGGUCUUCGGAUCGUAAAACUCUGUUAUUAGGGAAGAACAUAUGUGUAAGUAACUGUGCACAUCUUGACGGUACCUAAUCAGAAAGCCACGGCUAACUACGUGCCAGCAGCCGCGGUAAUACGUAGGUGGCAAGCGUUAUCCGGAAUUAUUGGGCGUAAAGCGCGCGUAGGCGGUUUUUUAAGUCUGAUGUGAAAGCCCACGGCUCAACCGUGGAGGGUCAUUGGAAACUGGAAAACUUGAGUGCAGAAGAGGAAAGUGGAAUUCCAUGUGUAGCGGUGAAAUGCGCAGAGAUAUGGAGGAACACCAGUGGCGAAGGCGACUUUCUGGUCUGUAACUGACGCUGAUGUGC
Molecule: ribosomal RNA, 722 nt
Filed under: uncultured Staphylococcus sp.
Lineage: Bacteria; Bacillati; Bacillota; Bacilli; Caryophanales; Staphylococcaceae
Description: bacterial SSU rRNA
Rfam family: Bacterial small subunit ribosomal RNA
Source: RNAcentral